RNAcentral lists this ribosomal RNA (322 nucleotides) under uncultured Chloroflexota bacterium. RNAcentral describes it as "bacterial SSU rRNA". It matches the Rfam family "Bacterial small subunit ribosomal RNA", at positions 28 to 351 of the family's 1533-position model. The record is from RNAcentral. Lineage: Bacteria; Bacillati; Chloroflexota.
GAUUAACGCUGGCGGCGUGCAUGAGACAUGCAAGUCGAACGGACGAGCUUGGCUUGCCUUGCUCGUUAGUGGCGGACGGCUGAGUAACGCGUGGGUGACCUGCCCCGAAGUGGGGAAUAACUGCCCGAAAGGGUGGCUAAUACCGCAUGUGGUGAGCGGUUCGUUCCGUUCACCAAAGCCGCAAGGCGCUUCGGGAGGGGCCUGCGUCCGAUUAGCUCGUUGGUGGGGUAACGGCUCACCAAGGCGACGAUCGGUAGGUGGUCUGAGAGGACGAUCACCCAGACUGGGACUGAGACACGGCCCAGACUCCUACGGGAGGCAG